RNAcentral lists this ribosomal RNA (378 nucleotides) under uncultured bacterium. RNAcentral's name for it is "bacterial SSU rRNA". It matches the Rfam family "Bacterial small subunit ribosomal RNA", at positions 30 to 412 of the family's 1533-position model. The record is from RNAcentral.
AUUGAACGCUGGCGGAAUGCUUUACACAUGCAAGUCGAACGGCAGCACGGGGCAACCUGGUGGCGAGUGGCGAACGGUGAGUAAUACAUCGGAACGUGCCCAAUCGUGGGGGAUAACGUAGCGAAAGUAACGCUAAUACCGCAUACGAUCUACGGAUGAAAGCGGGGAUCGCAAGACCUCGCGCGAGUGGAGCGGCCGAUGUCAGAUUAGGUAGUUGGUGGGGUAAAGGCUCACCAAGCCAACGAUCUGUAGCUGGUCUGAGAGGACGACCAGCCACACUGGAACUGAGACACGGUCCAGACUCCUACGGGAGGCAGCAGUGGGGAAUUUUGGACAAUGGGCGCAAGCCUGAUCCAGCCAUUCCGCGUGCAGGAUGAA